Molecule: ribosomal RNA, 443 nt
Filed under: uncultured bacterium
Lineage: Bacteria
Description: partial 16S ribosomal RNA
Rfam family: Bacterial small subunit ribosomal RNA
Source: RNAcentral
CCUACGGGUGGCAGCAGUGGGGAAUAUUGGGCAAUGGGCGAAAGCCUGACCCAGCAACGCCGCGUGAAGGAAGAAGGCUUUCGGGUUGUAAACCUCUUUUCGCAGGGAAGAAAAACGUGACGGUAGCUGAGGAAUCAGCCACGGCCAACUACGUGCCAGCAGCCGCGGUACUACGUAGGUGGCAAGCGUUAUCAGGAUUUACUGGGUGUAAAGGGCGUGUAGGCGGGAAAGCAAGUCAGAUGUGAAAGCCAGGGGCUCAACCUGGGGACUGCAUUUGAAACUGUGUGUCUGGAGUGCUGGAGAGGCAGGCGGAAUGCCUGGUGUAGCGGUGAAAUGCGUAGAUAUUAGGAGGAACACCAGUGGCGAAGGCGGUCUGCUGGACAGCAACUGACGCUGAGGCGCGAAAGCGUGGGGAGCAAACAGGAUUAGAUACCCUUGUAGUC